GAUGACUUGUGGAUAGGAGUGAAAGGCUAAUCAAGCUCGGAGAUAGCUGGUUCUCCUCGAAAGCUAUUUAGGUAGCGCCUCGUAUCUCACCAUUGGGGGUAGAGCACUGUUUGGGCUAGGGGGUCAUCCCGACUUACCAACCCCAUGCAAACUCCGAAUACCAAUGAGUGCAAUUACGGGAGACACACAGCGGGUGCUAACGUCCGUUGUGGAAAGGGAAACAACCCAGACCGUCAGCUAAGGUCCCAAAGUUACAGUUAAGUGGGAAACGAUGUGGGAAGGCUUAGACAGCUAGGAGGUUGGCUUAGAAGCAGCCAUCCUUUAAAGAAAGCGUAAUAGCUCACUAGUCGAGUCGGCCUGCGCGGAAGAUAUAACGGGGCUCAAACUGUACACCGAAGCUACGGAUGCAUAAUUUAUUAUGCAUGGUAGAGGAGCGUUCUGUAAGCCGUUGAAGGUCAAGCUGUAAGGCAGGCUGGAGGUAUCAGAAGUGCGAAUGUUGACAUGAGUAACGAUAAGGGGAGUGAAAAACUCCCCCGCCGGAAGACCAAGGUUUCCUGUCCCAUGCUAAUCAGGGCAGGGUGAGUCGGCCCCUA
This 593-nucleotide ribosomal RNA is filed under the name Salmonella enterica subsp. enterica. Its description in RNAcentral is "partial 23S ribosomal RNA". It matches the Rfam family "Bacterial large subunit ribosomal RNA", at positions 803 to 1393 of the family's 2925-position model. The record is from RNAcentral. Lineage: Bacteria; Pseudomonadati; Pseudomonadota; Gammaproteobacteria; Enterobacterales; Enterobacteriaceae.